UACGUAGGGGGCAAGCGUUGUUCGGAAUUACUGGGCGUAAAGGGCGCGUAGGCGGCACGGCAAGUCGGGAGUGAAAGGCCUGGGCUCAACCGAGGAACUGCUUUCGAGACUGCCGAGCUAGAGUGCGGAAGGGGCAACUGGAAUUCCCAGUGUAGCGGUGAAAUGCGUAGAUAUCGAGAGGAACACCUGCGGCGAAGGCGGGUUGCUGGGCUGACACUGACGCUGAUGCGCGAAAGCCAGGGGAGCGAACGGG
Molecule: ribosomal RNA, 253 nt
Filed under: uncultured bacterium
Lineage: Bacteria
Description: partial 16S ribosomal RNA
Rfam family: Bacterial small subunit ribosomal RNA
Source: RNAcentral